Molecule: unclassified non-coding RNA, 400 nt
Filed under: uncultured Gemmatimonadaceae bacterium
Lineage: Bacteria; Pseudomonadati; Gemmatimonadota; Gemmatimonadia; Gemmatimonadales; Gemmatimonadaceae
Description: contains 16S-23S intergenic spacer region
Source: RNAcentral
UCCGGUUUGGCACCGGCAGUCCUCCCAGAGUCCUCGCCAUGACGCGUUAGCAACUGGGAGCGGGGGUUGCGCUCGUUGCGGGACUUAACCCAACAUCUCACGACACGAGCUGACGACAGCCAUGCAGCACCUGUCUUGGGACUCCGAAGAGGGGCCGUGGUUUCUCACGGCUUUCCCCAAGAUGUCAAGCCCAGGUAAGGUUCUUCGCGUUGCGUCGAAUUAAACCACAUGCUCCACCGCUUGUGCGGGCCCCCGUCAAUUCCUUUGAGUUUCAGCCUUGCGGCCGUACUCCCCAGGCGGGGCACUUAAUGCGUUAGCGCCGGCACCCAGGCGGGGUACUUACUCCGUUAGGUGCGGCACCGGCGGUAACCCGCCGACACUUAGUACCCAUCGUUUAGGG